CGUCCUGGCUGUUUUCCCAGCAAAUCUAAGGCUCCAGCUUGAUAAAUGACAGGUAAGUUAACCUAUCAGAGGUCAGUAGAGAUGGGAAGAGCAGAAAACUGAGUUCAAAUAAACUACUGGGCUUCAAAACAACUAAACUCCUUUACUGAGAUUCUUUUAUUUAUUUUAAUGUACAGAGCUUUGAACUUCUGCCCCCUGGAUAGUCGCUAAAGUCAAUGACACACUGGACAAAUUUGCAUGAAAUCAGGGGACUUCAAGCAAAGAACUUGAAAGCUGCAGUUUGAUGACACACAACACUCCGAGGGAUCCUCUGUAGACUUUUCUACUUUUUGAACUGGAGUAUACAUUUUCAGCCCUGACCCCAAAAGGGAUUCAGCAGGUUAGAAGGAUGGAUGGAUAUACAUUUUCAGCAGAAACAUCAAAGGUGUUCCAAUAAUUCAUGCGGUGUCAACUCCUGCACGACCAUUCCUUAACUUCAGAGGCGCAGGAGCAGAAGAGAUCCCAGAUUUAUGAGAUGCUGAUGGACGGUGAAGGCGGGGGUGCAGAGUUUGAAAAAAAAGGAGGAGAUAAGGCCAACUUCAAAGAGGAAAAACGUGCUGCGUUUUAAAUUGAAGCUGUGCUGUUAUCCUGUUGUCCCGCCUCCCACAUGGGGGUAACCACCCAUGAUGACAACCAAGCAAAAUGAUGAUUUUUUUGCACAAUUUUCCCAUUUUUACAUUUUACUUCCUGUUGAAGAGUAAAUUGGCUUUUACUUUUUAACAUUUCUUCCAAGAGUUUGUUUCUGUAAUUUCUCAAAACCGAUGAAUGUGACAUGAUUCAAAGGGUUUUUAACUUCCUCUGCCUUUGCUUAUUGCCUUUUCACUAAGCACCUUAUUUGCUUCCACAUUGUUUUCUUUUUCUACCCCUUGCAGAGUCUCUCUUUCAUUUCAGUCAGGCAGGGGAGCUGCAGAAGUCUGAUGCUUGAUGUGUGUUGUGUGCUGGUCCUGAAGAGACAUAGUGAGGGUAUAAAUAGAGCAGGCCCACAGAUCGCUGUGCCAGACAGAAUGCAGCAUCUGCUGUGCUGGGAGUGCAAAGUGUUUGAGAGCUUUUAAACUCUCCAUUUCUUUCCCCUUAUCUCUCUGUCUCUCGUCUUUCUUUUUCUAUACCUCUUACUGCCUGAACUCAUCCUCUCCGGCCUAUCACUUGUGUCAUGUCCCUCUUUUCUUCCACAGUUUUCCCUUAUUACCGUUUUGCGGUUCCCCUUCAUUCCGACCCUCCCCUGCUCUUACUCCUUGUAACCCCCCCCCCCCCCCCC
This 1294-nucleotide long non-coding RNA is filed under the name Oryzias sinensis (Chinese medaka). RNAcentral describes it as "lncRNA (ENSOSIG00000008209.1)". The record is from RNAcentral. Lineage: Eukaryota; Metazoa; Chordata; Actinopteri; Beloniformes; Adrianichthyidae.